This 71-nucleotide transfer RNA is filed under the name Loxodonta africana (African savanna elephant). It matches the Rfam family "tRNA". Rfam says of the family: Transfer RNA (tRNA) molecules are approximately 80 nucleotides in length. Their secondary structure includes four short double-helical elements and three loops (D, anti-codon, and T loops). The record is from Rfam by way of RNAcentral. Lineage: Eukaryota; Metazoa; Chordata; Mammalia; Proboscidea; Elephantidae.
GCUGUGGUGGCUCAGGGGUAGACUUCUCGCCUUCAAUGCGGGAGACCUGGGUUCAAUUCCUAACCAAUGCG